This is a non-coding RNA of Picea glauca (white spruce), 121 nucleotides long. The record is from Rfam. Lineage: Eukaryota; Viridiplantae; Streptophyta; Pinopsida; Pinales; Pinaceae.
GUACAUGCUUAUAGCAUAGAAUUAACACAUCGCAUCCAAUUAGAGCUAUGCAAUUAAGCAUGCUCGGGCUAGAGUAGUAUUGGGAUGGGUGACCACAUGGGAAGUCCUAGUAUUUUGCAUU